Molecule: ribosomal RNA, 269 nt
Filed under: uncultured bacterium
Lineage: Bacteria
Description: partial 16S ribosomal RNA
Rfam family: Bacterial small subunit ribosomal RNA
Source: RNAcentral
UACGUAGGGUGCAAGCGUUAAUCGGAAUUACUGGGCGUAAAGCGUGCGCAGGCGGUUUUGUAAGUCUGUCGUGAAAUCCCCGGGCUCAACCUGGGAAUUGCGAUGGAGACUGCAAGGCUAGAAUCUGGCAGAGGGGGGUAGAAUUCCACGUGUAGCAGUGAAAUGCGUAGAGAUGUGGAGGAACACCGAUGGCGAAGGCAGCCCCCUGGGUCAAGAUUGACGCUCAUGCACGAAAGGCGUGGGGAGCAAACAGGAUUAGAAACCCGUUG